Molecule: ribosomal RNA, 471 nt
Filed under: uncultured bacterium
Lineage: Bacteria
Description: bacterial SSU rRNA
Rfam family: Bacterial small subunit ribosomal RNA
Source: RNAcentral
GGCUACGAGGACGAACGCUGGCGGCGUGCUUAACACAUGCAAGUCGAACGGUAAGGCCCUUCGGGGUACACGAGUGGCGAACGGGUGAGUAACACGUGGGUGAUCUGCCCUGCACUUCGGGAUAAGCCUGGGAAACUGGGUCUAAUACCGGAUAGGACCAUGGACUUCACGGUUUGUGGUGGAAAGCUUUUGCGGUGUGGGAUGGGCCCGCGGCCUAUCAGCUUGUUGGUGGGGUAAUGGCCUACCAAGGCGACGACGGGUAGCCGGCCUGAGAGGGUGUCCGGCCACACUGGGACUGAGAUACGGCCCAGACUCCUACGGGAGGCAGCAGUGGGGAAUAUUGCACAGUGGGCGCAAGCCUGAUGCAGCGACGCCGCGUGAGGGAUGACGGCCUUCGGGUUGUAAACCUCUUUCAAUAGGGACGAAGCGCAAGUGACGGUACCUAUAGAAGAAGCACCGGCCAACUACGUG